AACGUAGGAGACAAACGUUAUCCGGAGUUACUGGGCGUAAAGGGCGUGUAGGCGGUUAGUUAAGUCUGGCGUGAAAGCUCUCGGCUAAACCGGGAGAGGUCGUUGGAUACUGGCAAACUAGAGGACGGUAGAGGCGUGUGGAAUUCCGGGUGUAGUGGUGAAAUGCGUAGAGAUCCGGAGGAACACCAGUGGCGAAGGCGACACGCUGGGCCGUACCUGACGCUAAAGCGCGACAGCAUGGGGAGCAAACGGG
This 253-nucleotide ribosomal RNA is filed under the name uncultured bacterium. RNAcentral describes it as "partial 16S ribosomal RNA". It matches the Rfam family "Bacterial small subunit ribosomal RNA", at positions 524 to 776 of the family's 1533-position model. The record is from RNAcentral.